CUCCGUACACGUUCGGCAACUCUCGGUAAGUGGCUCUUGCCGACUCGUUGGCUCUCCGGAAAUCUUCGGUGGCUUUCGCAGCUGGCUUUGGGGGGGCCCACCUCUCAGUUGGUCGUCUCUUUCCGGAAAACUUCGGCGCCUCUCGAGAAAAACGUCGGACGCUCUUUGCUCUCUCCAGGAGUCUCUUCCUGGACAGCUGCACCCUCUAGUAGUCUCUUUUUGGAACUCCUCUUCCCGACUCCUACAUUCCCCCCAAAAUGUACUCAAACUAGUCAGAGUCGGAAGGGUCAGACAAUGAACCAUGUUUCCGACAUCCUCGUAAGUGCUAGGAUAACUACCAUUUAGUGCAUUCAGAAGAAAUAAGGUUAAAUGAUGAAAAUCCUUACAGAAAAGAAAAUUGAGACUCAGAGAUGGCAGAGGGGGUGGUAAGAUGGGGCGGGGAGUGGGGGCUGGGGAAUCCAGGAAAGUUUUCCACAGACAGAACCUAAACUGAAUUGAGAAUAAUUAAACUUUUUCAGUUUCUAUUUCAUUAUAAAGCUAAUAACACAGGCUGUAGCAAAUUCUUACAAUACGAAACUUUGCACACACACAUAAAUAAACUACCUAUCCCCUUUGUGA
This 618-nucleotide long non-coding RNA is filed under the name Pongo abelii (Sumatran orangutan). Its description in RNAcentral is "lincRNA". Lineage: Eukaryota; Metazoa; Chordata; Mammalia; Primates; Hominidae. The record is from RNAcentral.